UCUAAUACCGGAUACUGACCUUCACGGGCAUCCGGAAGGUCGAAAGCUCCGGCGGUGCAGGAUGAGCCCGCGGCCUAUCAGCUUGUUGGUGAGGUAACGGCUCACCAAGGCGACGACGGG
Molecule: ribosomal RNA, 120 nt
Filed under: Streptomyces malachitofuscus
Lineage: Bacteria; Bacillati; Actinomycetota; Actinomycetes; Kitasatosporales; Streptomycetaceae
Description: partial 16S rRNA
Rfam family: Bacterial small subunit ribosomal RNA
Source: RNAcentral